This 72-nucleotide transfer RNA is filed under the name Paramuricea clavata. RNAcentral describes it as "tRNA-Ser". Lineage: Eukaryota; Metazoa; Cnidaria; Anthozoa; Malacalcyonacea; Plexauridae. The record is from RNAcentral.
UCGAGAUGUAAGCGCAGUUGGUUAAAGCGCUGCACCGGAAUCGCAGGGACGCAGAUUCAAUUCCUGCCAGAG